Non-coding RNA from Mus musculus (house mouse), 294 nucleotides. The record is from the annotation of a RefSeq genome assembly. Lineage: Eukaryota; Metazoa; Chordata; Mammalia; Rodentia; Muridae.
CAGGUCCAGCUGCAGCAGUCUGGGGCUGAACUGGCAAGACCUGGUGCCUCAGUGAAGAUGUCCUGCAAGGCUUCUGGCUACACCUUUACUAGCUACACGAUGCACUGGGUAAAACAGAGGCCUGGACAGGGUCUGGAAUGGAUUGGAUACAUUAAUCCUAGCAGUGGUUAUACUAAGUACAAUCAGAAGUUCAAGGACAAGGCCACAUUGACUGCAGACAAAUCCUCCAGCACAGCCUACAUGCAACUGAGCAGCCUGACAUCUGAGGACUCUGCAGUCUAUUACUGUGCAAGA